This 495-nucleotide ribosomal RNA is filed under the name uncultured bacterium. Its description in RNAcentral is "partial 16S ribosomal RNA". It matches the Rfam family "Bacterial small subunit ribosomal RNA", at positions 28 to 523 of the family's 1533-position model. The record is from RNAcentral.
GAUGAACGCUAGCGGCAGGCCUAAUACAUGCAAGUCGAACGGGUUUUGGUAGCAAUACCAAAAUCAGUGGCGCACGGGUGCGUAACGCGUAUGCAACCUACCUUAAACUGGGGGAUAGCCUUCCGAAAGGAAGAUUGAUACCGCAUAAGAUCACACGAGGGCAUCUGAGAGUGAUUAAAGAUAUAUUGGGUUCAGAUGGGCAUGCGUGCCAUGAGCUAGUUGGUAGGGUAACGGCCUACCAAGGCUACGAUGGCUAGGGGUUCUGAGAGGAUGAUGCCCGACACUGGUACUGAGAUACGGACCAGACUCCUGCGGGAGGCAGCAGUAGGGAAUAUUGGGCAAUGGACUGAAGUCUGACCCAGCCAUGCCGCGUGCAGGAAGAAGGCCUUCUGGGUUGUAAACUGCUUUUAUCUAGGAAGAAAACGCCCAUGCGUGGGAAACUGACGGUACUAGAUGAAUAAGCACCGGCUAACUACGUGCCAGCAGCCGCGGUAA